This 467-nucleotide ribosomal RNA is filed under the name uncultured bacterium. Its description in RNAcentral is "partial 16S ribosomal RNA". It matches the Rfam family "Bacterial small subunit ribosomal RNA", at positions 28 to 507 of the family's 1533-position model. The record is from RNAcentral.
GAUGAACGCUGACAGAAUGCUUAACACAUGCAAGUCAACCUGACUUUGGGUUUUUUACUUAGGUUUGGGUGGCGGACGGGUGAGUAACGCGUAAAGAACUUGCCUCCCAGCUAGGGACAACAUUUGGAAACGAAUGCUAAUACCUAAUAUUAUGAUAAUAGGACCUCCUAUUUUUAUGAAAGCUAUAAGCGCUGUGAGAGGGUUUUGCGUCACAUUAGCUAGUUGGAGAGGUAACGGCGCACCAAGGCGAGGAUGGGUAGCCGGCCUGGGAGGGUGAUCGGCCACAAGGGGACUGGGACACGGCCCUUACUCAUACGGGAGGCAGCAGUGAAGAAUAUUGGACGAAGGACCGAGUGUCUGAUCCAGCAAUUCUGUGUGCACGAUGAAGUUUUUCGGAAUGAAAAGUGCUUUCAGUUGGGAAGAAACAAUUGACGGUACCAACAGAAGAAGUGACGGCUAAAUACGUG